CUUCCUCGAUCUGCUGCGGGCAGAUGUAAUGGAUAUGCGCGUCCAUGCCGCCGGCGGUUAGUAUCUUGCCUUCACCGGCAAUUGCCUCCGUCGAGGGGCCGACGAUGAUCGUCACACCCGGCUGCGUAUCCGGGUUGCCAGCCUUGCCGAUGGCGUGGAUGCGGCCGUUCUUCAGGCCCACAUCCGCCUUGUAGAUGCCGCUGUGGUCGACGAUGACGGCAUUGGUGAUGACGGUAUCGACAGCCCCUUCGGCCCGCGUUGCCUGGCUCUGGCCCAUGCCGUCGCGAAUG
Molecule: small RNA, 290 nt
Organism: Agrobacterium tumefaciens
Lineage: Bacteria; Pseudomonadati; Pseudomonadota; Alphaproteobacteria; Hyphomicrobiales; Rhizobiaceae
Rfam family: 5' ureB small RNA
Source: Rfam